CCUAGGGAUGCUCCAGUGGGGAAUAUUGGACAAUGGGGGAAACCCUGAUCCAGCAAUGCCGCGUGUGUGAAGAAGGCCUGCGGGUUGUAAAGCACUUUCGGUUGGGAGGACUGCUUCUAGCACUAAUAUUGUUGGAAGUUGACGUUACCUUCAGAAGAAGCACCGGCUAACUCCGUGCCAGCAGCCGCGGUGAAUACGGAGGGUGCAAGCGUUAAUCGGAAUUACUGGGCGUAAAGCGCGCGUAGGCGGCUAGAUCAGUCGGGUGUGAAAGCCCCGGGCUUAACCUGGGAACUGCAUCCGAUACUGUCUAGCUUGAGUACAGGAGAGGAGAGUGGAAUUCCACAUGUAGCGGUGAAAUGCGUAGAUAUGUGGAGGAACACCAAUGGCGAAGGCAGCUCUCUGGCCUGAUACUGACGCUGAGGUGCGAAAGCGUGGGGAGCAAACAGGAUUAGAUACCCCUGUAGUC
Molecule: ribosomal RNA, 466 nt
Filed under: uncultured bacterium
Lineage: Bacteria
Description: partial 16S ribosomal RNA
Rfam family: Bacterial small subunit ribosomal RNA
Source: RNAcentral